Molecule: ribosomal RNA, 253 nt
Filed under: uncultured bacterium
Lineage: Bacteria
Description: partial 16S ribosomal RNA
Rfam family: Bacterial small subunit ribosomal RNA
Source: RNAcentral
GACGAAGGAUGCAAGCGUUAUCCGGAUUCAUUGGGUUUAAAGGGAGCGUAGGCGGCCUUAUAAGUCAGUGGUGAAAUCUCUCGGCUUAACCGAGAAAUUGCCAUUGAUACUGUAGGGCUUGAGUACAGUUGCCGUUGGCGGAAUAUGACAUGUAGUGGUGAAAUACAUAGAGAUGUCAUAGAACACCGAUUGCGAAGGCAGCUAACGAAGCUGUAACUGACGCUGAGGCUCGAAAGUGCGGGGAUCAAACAGG